CUUGCGUUUGUAUCUGCAGACGAAGUGCACCGGUUUUUUCACCCUGCCAGGUGACAAAGUAUCUAUGGAAACCAAUAUCUAUGGAAACCAACGAUGUGCUGUUGUCUCUCACCCUGCCAGCUAACAAAAGGUUGGUGCUGUGGAAACAUUUCCAGCUCUCCACAAGAUACUUUGGCACUGCACCAAAGGAAAACAUGCUUCUUCCAUCUAGAUCCUGGGUGGUUAUGUUCAGAUCAACGCUGCUAUUCAUAUGCUCGUCUUGAAUGGUAUAUUUACACUCUUUUCCAAGAUGCCCUCGACAACAGGCAUGCGUAGAUCAUUGUUCCAGUUGGUUGGAGAUCACAGUGGACCUGUUCAAGUAACCAGCCGCCCACAGAAUUUUUCUCUUUGUGAUGUUCAUCAACAAAUAAUACUGUACCAAAGAAGUUCCACGGUUUGCCACCCUGCCGGCUGACAAAGUAUCUAUUUAAACCAAAGAAGUGCCGUCGCCUCUCACCCUGCCAGCUAAGAAAAGGAUGCCUGCGUGAUUGAGGAGAGCCCAAACAUGAGCAAGGAAUUCUCCUCCUUGCGCAAGCCAUUCGAUGUGCACCUUGACACUGUCUGAUGUCACGAUAUGGAUGAUGGUCUCGGCCCAGAAUUCGGCCAUCACCUUCCAGCGGAGAAACAUCAUCUUCUAUCUUCUCCAGCUCUUUCCCCAGCUUCAAGCCUUUAACGAAGAUGGUAUCUAAAAUGCUAUUAUUGGUGGAAGUGGAACUGAGGAUUUGUAUCCCCGGGGCUGUUGCUGCUUAAUAUGCGAAUUGUGGUAUCGUCAUCGUUGUUGCUUCUGGAACCAUGGAGGACAGUAUCUUCAUUGUUGCUGCUUUUGGAAACAUUGACGACCUAGAGCAAUCUAUCCCUACUCGGCUUCCGCCUACAAAGCAUCUGUCUUAGUUCCAGUUACAGGCAACUGAAGUGAAACAGUGUGUCCGUAGAGUUCCCAGGAAGCAAAUAUGGGAGGAAGGACAUCAAAUGUGCACAAUAUCUGGAUAAAAGUGACCGCAACUUGCUGGUAGUUAUCUGUGUGGAGCUUCCAAAGACUCAGUGUUGCAGUAUUCGAGGCCCCAUUGCCCUGACUGGCUUCAUUGCUAGCCUUGCCUCGCCCGACUCCCCUGGCAUCCUUUUCUCGCCGCCACCACCGCUAUCACCGGCGGCCUCGAAGCCAUCUGCCACGGAGAAGCUGGCAAGAUGCAGUGGUCGCUGCCAAGCCCACUGCAGGUCUACUGACGAUGGACAUGGUCAAGCUUGUCUUGCUGAAGAAAUCUUGUGAACCCAUCGAUGAAUCGACCGCCACCUCUGCUGCCCUGAAGAAGUAUGGAGAUUUGUACCAGCAGCCGGUCACGGCCUUGAUGGACGCCGCCAACCCUGCUCGCAAGAUGGGGAAGAAAGCUGAUGUGACUGCGUCUUGAACCAAGGGUCCCCAUCGGUGAACGACCUACCCAUGAAGAUCAAGGAUGAGGCUGCCCUUUGGGCUGGUGCCGGUGCGUUAGGACUUAGAGCCAUCACCCCCCAAACGUGGGAUGUCCACUGAUUUGCUCACGAACAUUGUAACUGCCUCCUAGGAGGAUUGGAAGCUCUGCUUGGGGAGGCUCUGGCAGUGGCUUGAUCGGCUGCCUCUGCUAGUCUCCAGCGCCCCCACUGUUACCAAUGUUAGAUCUUCCACUUCGUUAUCAGCUGCCCUCUGUUGGUUCCUGUCUCUGUUCUGCGUCACCCCUGUUCCUUGCUUAGUGCUGCUGCAUCUCUGUAUGCUGUGUUUGUGUCUUCAGAAUUCAGAUUCUGGUGUCUGUUCACUACUGUUUGCAAUGCCGGCUAUCCCUUGGGCUGUUUGUUUGCCAUUCGCGAAGACUGUUGUCCAACCGCUUUGCAACGCCCCCACCGCGAUGAUCCCUGCAAUGUAUAUACAACUUAUUAAUUGGAACGUCAGAGGGUUAAACAACCUGGCUAGAAGGAGAGCGAUUCAAAAUUUUAUUGCUGACCACAACUGCAACUUGGUCUGCCUCCAGGAGACUAAGUUGGCUGACCUCUCCCCUGCUCCGGUCACUGAGAUCCCUGCCAGCAAGUUCUCUGCCAAUGUCAUUUUCAAACCGGCUAUUGGCACCCGAGGGGGCAUCUUGGUGGCUUGCCCUGAUGAUUUUGCUAUUGUUCAUCUGCAGUAUCACCUGAUUCCUGCUUCCACAACAAUCUCUGGCCAUCGACCCAUUAUUCUCAAGAAGAUGCACAUUGGGCAUUACAGGGGAUUCAGAUUUGAGGCCUAC
Triticum aestivum (bread wheat) is the source of this 2291-nucleotide long non-coding RNA. RefSeq lists it as uncharacterized. The record is from RefSeq and is a predicted model, not a curated record. The transcript has 3 exons. NCBI's taxonomy places the organism in Eukaryota, Viridiplantae, Streptophyta, Magnoliopsida, Poales, Poaceae.